Molecule: ribosomal RNA, 255 nt
Filed under: uncultured bacterium
Lineage: Bacteria
Description: partial 16S ribosomal RNA
Rfam family: Bacterial small subunit ribosomal RNA
Source: RNAcentral
CGCUAUCAGAUGAGCCUAGGUCGGAUUAGCUAGUUGGUGAGGUAAUGGCUCACCAAGGCGACGAUCCGUAACUGGUCUGAGAGGAUGAUCAGUCACACUGGAACUGAGACACGGUCCAGACUCCUACGGGAGGCAGCAGUGGGGAAUAUUGGACAAUGGGCGAAAGCCUGAUCCAAACAGGGCCGCGUGUGUGAAGAAGGUCUUCGGAUUGUAAAUCAAUUGAAGUUGGAGGAAGGGCAGUUACCUAAUACGUGA